This 207-nucleotide ribosomal RNA is filed under the name uncultured bacterium. RNAcentral describes it as "partial 16S ribosomal RNA". It matches the Rfam family "Bacterial small subunit ribosomal RNA", at positions 568 to 774 of the family's 1533-position model. The record is from RNAcentral.
CACGUAGGUGGCAAGGUAAGUCAAAGGUGAAAGCCCUCGGCUCAACCGAGGAACUGCCUUUGAAACUGCUUUGCUUGAGUCCGGGAGGGGGGAGCGGAAUUCCCAGUGUAGCGGUGAAAUGCGUAGAUACUGGGAGGAACACCGGUGGCGAAGGCGGCUCCCUGGACCGGUACUGACACUGAGGUGCGAAAGCGUGGGUAGCAAACA